RNAcentral lists this ribosomal RNA (115 nucleotides) under Rhizoctonia solani. RNAcentral's name for it is "partial 5.8S ribosomal RNA". It matches the Rfam family "5.8S ribosomal RNA", at positions 1 to 110 of the family's 154-position model. Rfam says of the family: 5.8S ribosomal RNA (5.8S rRNA) is a component of the large subunit of the eukaryotic ribosome. Lineage: Eukaryota; Fungi; Basidiomycota; Agaricomycetes; Cantharellales; Ceratobasidiaceae. The record is from RNAcentral.
AUACUAAGUUUCAACAACGGAUCUCUUGGCUCUCGCAUCGAUGAAGAACGCAGCGAAAUGCGAUAAGUAAUGUGAAUUGCAGAAUUCAGUGAAUCAUCGAAUCUUUGAACGCACC